AGUAUAUAUGCGAAAUUUGAAAAGAUGCUUAUAACGCUUAUCAUGUUUUGAUUUUGAGCGGCAGCACGGGGAAAUAUCACCUUAAUUUUUUAUCGAUUUAUUUGUCAGGAUGGAAAUAUAAUGUGCUAUAGCUUCCGCGAUAGCCAGAAAAAAAGCCAUUGUUGGCCACAACAUUGGCAGUCUCUCCUCCAGGCCGGCAUCGAUGCCAGGCGUGCUGCCUCCUCAUCAGCCUAUCAAGAUCAGCAGAGUGACAAAUAUUGUACAGCAAUGUGAGGAGCGGCGGCAAAGAGGGCAGCCAUCUUCGAUUCGCUUUUUUUGACCUGACAAGAUACAUUACCCC
This is a long non-coding RNA of Phycodurus eques (leafy seadragon), 340 nucleotides long. RefSeq lists it as uncharacterized. The transcript is spliced from 3 exons. NCBI's taxonomy places the organism in Eukaryota, Metazoa, Chordata, Actinopteri, Syngnathiformes, Syngnathidae. The record is from RefSeq and is a predicted model, not a curated record.